CUUCAUUAUAUAUAGUUUGUCGCCCUGUCAGUGCUAUAUCCUGGGGGGCAAAAAUGAGGAGAGGCAAUUGCAGAAUGUCGAGUGUGGUGCCUUGCACAAGCAAGGCAGUCUCGCGAACUGAGUCAAGGAAGGACAUAAUAGAAAUAGUCAAGACCAAGUUGGCAACCAUCAAAGAAGAGCCAGAGCAGGCAGAGAUGUGUGAAUUGAAACGUACACCGGUGAGAGUAAACUUGCAGGUGGCUAAGAG
RNAcentral lists this unclassified non-coding RNA (247 nucleotides) under Hevea brasiliensis (rubber tree). Lineage: Eukaryota; Viridiplantae; Streptophyta; Magnoliopsida; Malpighiales; Euphorbiaceae. The record is from RNAcentral.